This 481-nucleotide ribosomal RNA is filed under the name uncultured bacterium. RNAcentral's name for it is "partial 16S ribosomal RNA". It matches the Rfam family "Bacterial small subunit ribosomal RNA", at positions 28 to 507 of the family's 1533-position model. The record is from RNAcentral.
GAUGAACGCUGGCGGCGUGCUUAACACAUGCCAGUCGAACGAAGCAUUUAGGACAGAUUACUUCGGUUUGAAGUUCUUUAUGACUGAGUGGCGGACGGGUGAGUAACGCGUGUGUAACCUGCCUUGUACUGGGGGAUAGCAGCUGGAAACGGCUGGUAAUACCGCAUAAGCGCACAAUGUUGCAUGACAUGGUGUGAAAAACUCCGGUGGUAUAAGAUGGACCCGCGUCUGAUUAGCGAGUUGGUGAGAUAACAGCCCACCAAGGCGACGAUCAGUAGCCGACCUGAGAGGGUGACCGGCCACAUUGGGACUGAGACACGGCCCAGACUCCUACGGGAGGCAGCAGUGGGGAAUAUUGCACAAUGGAGGAAACUCUGAUGCAGCGACGCCGCGUGAGUGAAGAAGUAAUUCGUUAUGUAAAGCUCUAUCAGCAGGGAAGAUAGUGACGGUACCUGACUAAGAAGCUCCGGCUAAAUACGUG